RNAcentral lists this ribosomal RNA (425 nucleotides) under uncultured bacterium. RNAcentral describes it as "partial 16S ribosomal RNA". It matches the Rfam family "Bacterial small subunit ribosomal RNA", at positions 354 to 796 of the family's 1533-position model. The record is from RNAcentral.
GUGGGGAAUCUUAGACAAUGGGGGAAACCCUGAUCUAGCCAUGCCGCGUGAGCGAUGAAGGCCUUAGGGUUGUAAAGCUCUUUCAGCUGGGAAGAUAAUGACGGUACCAGCAGAAGAAGCCCCGGCUAACUCCGUGCCAGCAGCCGCGGUAAUACGGAGGGGGUUAGCGUUGUUCGGAAUUACUGGGCGUAAAGCGCGCGUAGGCGGACCAGAAAGUUGGAGGUGAAAUCCCAGGGCUCAACCUUGGAACUGCCUUCAAAACUCCUGGUCUGGAGUUCGAGAGAGGUGAGUGGAAUUCCGAGUGUAGAGGUGAAAUUCGUAGAUAUUCGGAGGAACACCAGUGGUGAAGGCGGCUCACUGGCUCGAUACUGACGCUGAGGUGCGAAAGCGUGGGGAGCAAACAGGAUUAGAUACCCUAGUAGUCC